RNAcentral lists this transfer RNA (61 nucleotides) under Artheneis intricata. RNAcentral describes it as "tRNA-Cys". Lineage: Eukaryota; Metazoa; Arthropoda; Insecta; Hemiptera; Artheneidae. The record is from RNAcentral.
GGUUUUAUAGUCAAAUAAUGAUAUUAGAUUGCAAAUCUGAAGUUGAAUUUUUCUAAAACCU